This 497-nucleotide ribosomal RNA is filed under the name uncultured bacterium. Its description in RNAcentral is "partial 16S ribosomal RNA". It matches the Rfam family "Bacterial small subunit ribosomal RNA", at positions 28 to 507 of the family's 1533-position model. The record is from RNAcentral.
GACGAACGCUGGCGGCGUGCCUAAUACAUGCAAGUUGAGCGCUGAAGGUUGGUACUUGUACCAACUGGAUGAGCAGCGAACGGGUGAGUAACGCGUGGGGAAUCUGCCUUUGAGCGGGGGACAACAUUUGGAAACGAAUGCUAAUACCGCAUAAAAACUUUAAACACAAGUUUUAAGUUUGAAAGAUGCAAUUGCAUCACUCAAAGAUGAUCCCGCGUUGUAUUAGCUAGUUGGUGAGGUAAAGGCUCACCAAGGCGAUGAUACAUAGCCGACCUGAGAGGGUGAUCGGCCACAUUGGGACUGAGACCCGGCCCAAACGCCUUCGGGAGGCAGCAGUAGGGAAUCUUCGGCAAGGGGCGAAAGUCUGACCGAGCAACGCCGCGUGAGUGAAGAAGGAUUUCGGAUCGUAAAACUCUGUUGGUAGAGAAGAACGUUGGUGAGAGUGGAAAGCUCAUCAAGUGACGGUAACUACCCAGAAAGGGACGGCUAACUACGUG